This 195-nucleotide ribosomal RNA is filed under the name Nephroselmis pyriformis. RNAcentral's name for it is "partial Bacterial large subunit ribosomal RNA". It matches the Rfam family "Bacterial large subunit ribosomal RNA", at positions 2734 to 2925 of the family's 2925-position model. Lineage: Eukaryota; Viridiplantae; Chlorophyta; Nephroselmidophyceae; Nephroselmidales; Nephroselmidaceae. The record is from RNAcentral.
GGCAUUGCCCGGUAGCUACGUUCGGAAUCGAUAACCGCUGAAAGCAUCUAAGCGGGAAGCGAGCCCAGAGAUGAGUCAUCCCAGACAGUUUAACUGUCCUGAAGGGUUGUUGUAGACUACAACGUUGAUAGGCAGGGUGUGGAAGCGUUGUAAAGCGUUAAGCUAACCUGUACUAAUUGCCCGUGCGGCUUAACC